GCAGUGGCCUUGCUGCCACGAUCCACCGAGAUUCAGCCCUUUGUCGCUAAGAUUCGACCCUCCCCUAAAUCACUCCAAAAAACAAUCCCCAAUUCUACACAAGUGUUUCUACACUAACAAAGCAACAGCUCCUUAACGAAUUCCCAACUUUACACGAGCUCGUCUCUCGAGGUUAAAUGUUAUUACUUGGUAAGAUUCCGGACCUCGCCAAGUGUUUUGAAAACCCGCAACGCUCGCAAAGGUGCAUAGUGAGAAGAAUAAGUGAAGAGACGUACUUGUCCAAAACGCUCACGAAGGUGCAUAGUGAGAAGAGUAAGUCAAGAGACAGACUUGUCCAAAAAGAAACAAAAGAGAAUGCUUGGGGUUACACUCACGAAGGUGCAUAGUGAGAAGAGUAAGUCAAGAGCAGACUUGUUCAAAAAGAACCGAAGAGAAUGCUUGGGGAGAUAGAAGUGUGAGAUAGUUCUCAAGCUAAGAAAGUUGUAAAAGCUAAGAACUAGCAUCAAAUGAUGGAUGAAACACAAGGUAGUUGUUGAAAAGUCAAACACUUGGUGAUAUGAACACAAACGUUCAAUAUGACAAACCCAUGCCAAGUAAAGAGAAAAUGAAAACGAGUGAUUGUUGCGGAAAUCGUCCAGGAUUCCUCGACCAGGACUUGAAAUCGUCGAGGAAAAUAAUCGGUUCCGAGGAAUCGUCGAUCCGGACUUGGAAUCGUCGAGAAAAGUUUACCGGGUCCGAGGAAUCGUCGAU
RNAcentral lists this unclassified non-coding RNA (750 nucleotides) under Arabidopsis thaliana (thale cress). RNAcentral's name for it is "3' external transcribed spacer". The record is from RNAcentral. Lineage: Eukaryota; Viridiplantae; Streptophyta; Magnoliopsida; Brassicales; Brassicaceae.